This 254-nucleotide ribosomal RNA is filed under the name uncultured microorganism. RNAcentral describes it as "partial 16S ribosomal RNA". It matches the Rfam family "Bacterial small subunit ribosomal RNA", at positions 9 to 262 of the family's 1533-position model. The record is from RNAcentral.
GAGUUUGAUCGUGGCUCAGGACGAACGCUGGCGGCGUGCUUAACACAUGCAAGUCGAACGGUAAGGCUCCAGCUUGCUGGGGUACACGAGUGGCGAACGGGUGAGUAACACGUGGGUGACCUGCCCUGCACUUCGGGAUAAGCCUGGGAAACUGGGUCUAAUACCGGAUAGGACCGCACCGUGAGGGUGUGGUGGAAAGUUUUUUCGUGUGGGAGUGGCCCGGCCGGCCGUAUCAGCUUGUUGGUGGGGUAAGU